This 253-nucleotide ribosomal RNA is filed under the name uncultured bacterium. Its description in RNAcentral is "partial 16S ribosomal RNA". It matches the Rfam family "Bacterial small subunit ribosomal RNA", at positions 524 to 776 of the family's 1533-position model. The record is from RNAcentral.
GACAGAGGUGGCAAGCGUUGUUCGGAAUCACUGGGCUUAAAGCGCACGUAGGCGGCCUUGCAAGUGUCUUGUGAAAUCCCUCGGCUCAACCGAGGAAUCGCUGGGCAUACUGCUCGGCUUGAGGCAGGUAUGGGCGAGUGGAACUCUUGGUGGAGCGGUGGAAUGCGUAGAUAUCAAGAGGAACGCCGGUGGUGAAGACGAUUCGCUGGGCCUGUCCUGACGCUGAGGUGCGAAAGCCAGGGGAGCAAACGGG